RNAcentral lists this ribosomal RNA (254 nucleotides) under uncultured bacterium. RNAcentral describes it as "partial 16S ribosomal RNA". It matches the Rfam family "Bacterial small subunit ribosomal RNA", at positions 524 to 776 of the family's 1533-position model. The record is from RNAcentral.
GACGAACCGUGCGAACGUUAUUCGGAAUCACUGGGCUUAAAGCGCGUGUAGGUGGGACGGCACGUCGGUCGCUGAAAGCCCCCGGCUCAACCGGGGAACGGGCGCCGAUACGACCGUCCUGGAGGGACGUAGGGGGAGCUGGAACUUCCGGUGGAGCGGUGAAAUGCGUUGAGAUCGGAAGGAACGCCCGUGGCGAAAGCGAGCUCCUGGACGUUUUCUGACACUGAGACGCGAAAGCCAGGGGAGCGAACGGG